UACAGAGGGGGCAAGCGUUGUUCGGAAUUACUGGGCGUAAAGGGCGCGUAGGCGGCCUGCUAAGUCGAACGUGAAAUCCCCGGGCUCAACCCGGGAACUGCGUCCGAUACUGGUAGGCUUGAAUCCGGGAGAGGGAUGCGGAAUUCCAGGUGUAGCGGUGAAAUGCGUAGAUAUCGAGAGGAACACCAGUGGCGAAGGCGGCUGACUGGUCCGGUUCUGACGCUGAGGCGCGAAAGCGUGGGGAGCAACAGG
Molecule: ribosomal RNA, 252 nt
Filed under: uncultured bacterium
Lineage: Bacteria
Description: partial 16S ribosomal RNA
Rfam family: Bacterial small subunit ribosomal RNA
Source: RNAcentral